AUACGUAGGUGGCAAGCGUUGUCCGGAUUUAUUGGGCGUAAAGCGAGCGCAGGCGGUUUCUUAAGUCUGAUGUGAAAGCCCCCGGCUCAACCGGGGAGGGUCAUUGGAAACUGGGAGACUUGAGUGCAGAAGAGGAGAGUGGAAUUCCAUGUGUAGCGGUGAAAUGCGUGGAUAUAUGGAGGAACACCAGUGGCGAAGGCGGCUUUCGGGUCUGUACCUGACGCUGAGGCUCGAAAGCGUGGGGAGAAAACAGGAUUAGAUACUCUGGUAGUCCACGCCGUAAACGAUGAGUGCUAAGUGUUGGAGGGUUUCCGCCCUUCAGUGCUGCAGCUAACGCAUUAAGCACUCCGCCUGGGGAGUACGACCGCAAGGUUGAAACUCAAAUGAAUUGACGGGG
This 397-nucleotide ribosomal RNA is filed under the name uncultured bacterium. RNAcentral's name for it is "partial 16S ribosomal RNA". It matches the Rfam family "Bacterial small subunit ribosomal RNA", at positions 523 to 918 of the family's 1533-position model. The record is from RNAcentral.